RNAcentral lists this ribosomal RNA (253 nucleotides) under uncultured bacterium. RNAcentral describes it as "partial 16S ribosomal RNA". It matches the Rfam family "Bacterial small subunit ribosomal RNA", at positions 524 to 776 of the family's 1533-position model. The record is from RNAcentral.
UACGUAGGGGGCAAGCGUUAUCCGGAUUUACUGGGUGUAAAGGGAGCGUAGACGGUUAUGCAAGUCUGAAGUGAAAGCCCAAGGCUCAACCGUGGGACUGCUUUGGAAACUGUAAAACUGGAGUGCAGGAGAGGUAAGCGCAAUUCCUAGUGUAGCGGUGAAAUGCGUAGAUAUUAGGAGGAACACCAGUGGCGAAGGCGGCUUACUGGACUGUAACUGACGUUGAGGCUCGAAGGCGUGGGGAGCAAACAGG